AUCCGCAUGGAUUUUGUUUGAAAGGUGGCUUCGGCUAUCACUUCUGGAUGAUCCCGCGGCGUAUUAGUUAGUUGUGGUGAGGUAAAGGCCCACCAAGACGAUGAUACGUAGCCGACCUGAGAGGGUAAUCGGCCACAUUGGGACUGAGACACGGCCCAAACUCCUACGGGAGGCAGCAGUAGGGAAUCUUCCACAAUGGACGAAAGUCUGAUGGAGCAAUGCCGCGUGAGUGAAGAAGGGUUUCGGCUCGUAAAACUCUGUUGUUAAAGAAGAACACCUUUGAGAGUAACUGUUCAAGGGUUGACGGUAUUUAACCAGAAAGCCACGGCUAACUACGUGCCAGCAGCCGCGGUAAUACGUAGGUGGCAAGCGUUGUCCGGAUUUAUUGGGCGUAAAGCGAGCGCAGGCGGUUUUUUAAGUCUGAUGUGAAAGCCUUCGGCUUAACCGGAGAAGUGCAUCGGAAACUGGGAGACUUGAGUGCAGAAGAGGACAGUGGAACUCCAUGUGUAGCGGUGGAAUGCGUAGAUAUAUGGAAGAACACCAGUGGCGAAGGCGGCUGUCUAGUCUGUAACUGACGCUGAGGCUCGAAAGCAUGGGUAGCGAACAGGAUUAGAUACCCUGGUAGUCCAUGCCGUAAACGAUGAGUGCUAAGUGUUGGAGGGUUUCCGCCCUUCAGUGCUGCAGCUAACGCAUUAAGCACUCCGCCUGGGGAGUACGACCGCAAGGUUGAAACUCAAAGGAAUUGACGGGGGCCCGCACAAGCGGUGGAGCAUGUGGUUUAAUUCGAAGCUACGCGAAGAACCUUACCAGGUCUUGACAUCUUCUGCCAAUCUUAGAGAUAAGACGUUCCCUUCGGGGACAGAAUGACAGGUGGUGCAUGGUUGUCGUCAGCUCGUGUCGUGAGAUGUUGGGUUAAGUCCCGCAACGAGCGCAACCCUUAUUAUCAGUUGCCAGCAUUCAGUUGGGCACUCUGGUGAGACUGCCGGUGACAAACCGGAGGAAGGUGGGGAUGACGUCAAAUCAUCAUGCCCCUUAUGACCUGGGCUACACACGUGCUACAAUGGACGGUACAACGAGUCGCGAAGUCGUGAGGCUAAGCUAAUCUCUUAAAGCCGUUCUCAGUUCGGAUUGUAGGCUGCAACUCGCCU
Molecule: ribosomal RNA, 1148 nt
Filed under: Levilactobacillus brevis
Lineage: Bacteria; Bacillati; Bacillota; Bacilli; Lactobacillales; Lactobacillaceae
Description: bacterial SSU rRNA
Rfam family: Bacterial small subunit ribosomal RNA
Source: RNAcentral